This is a non-coding RNA of Microcebus murinus (gray mouse lemur), 357 nucleotides long. The record is from RefSeq and is a predicted model, not a curated record. Lineage: Eukaryota; Metazoa; Chordata; Mammalia; Primates; Cheirogaleidae.
GAUCACCUUCCAGGUGAAGGUCACGGCCACAGAGUGCAUCCAGGAGCAGACGUUUGUCAUCCGGCCACUGGGCUUCCCGGACACGGUGACCGUGCGUGUCCUUCCCCAGUGUGAGUGCCAGUGCCAGGACCAGAGCCAGGAACGCAGCCUCUGCCAGGGCAAGGGCUCCUUGGAGUGCGGCGUCUGCAGGUGCGACGCUGGCUACAUCGGGAAAAACUGUGAGUGCCAGACGCAGGGCCGGAGCAGCCAGGAGCUGGAGGGAAGCUGCCGGAAGGACAACAGCUCCCUCGUGUGCUCGGGGCUGGGGGACUGCGUCUGCGGGCAGUGCGUGUGCCACACCAGCGACGUCCCCAACAA